This 492-nucleotide ribosomal RNA is filed under the name uncultured bacterium. RNAcentral's name for it is "partial 16S ribosomal RNA". It matches the Rfam family "Bacterial small subunit ribosomal RNA", at positions 29 to 507 of the family's 1533-position model. The record is from RNAcentral.
AGUGAACGCUGGCGGCAGGCCUAACACAUGCAAGUCGAACGGCAGCACAGUAAGAGCUUGCUCUUACGGGUGGCGAGUGGCGGACGGGUGAGGAAUACAUCGGAAUCUACUUUUUCGUGGGGGAUAACGUAGGGAAACUUACGCUAAUACCGCAUACGACCUACGGGUGAAAGCAGGGGCUCUUCGGACCUUGCGCGAUUGAAUGAGCCGAUGUCGGAUUAGCUAGUUGGCGGGGUAAAGGCCCACCAAGGCGACGAUCCGUAGCUGGUCUGAGAGGAUGAUCAGCCACACUGGAACUGAGACACGGUCCAGACUCCUACGGGAGGCAGCAGUGGGGAAUAUUGGACAAUGGGCGCAAGCCUGAUCCAGCCAUACCGCGUGGGUGAAGAAGGCCUUCGGGUUGUAAAGCCCUUUUGUUGGGAAAGAAAAGCAGCAGGUUAAUACACCGCUGUUAUGACGGUACCCAAAGAAUAAGCACCGGCUAACUUCGUG